Molecule: ribosomal RNA, 1462 nt
Filed under: metagenome
Description: bacterial LSU rRNA
Rfam family: Bacterial large subunit ribosomal RNA
Source: RNAcentral
GUCAGGACCUAAGCCGAGGCCGAAAGGCGUAGGUGAUGGACAACAGGUUGAUACUCCUGUACCACCAAUAACCGUUUGAGAAAUGGGAUGACACAGUAGGAUAAGCUAACCGCACUGUUGGUUAUGUGCGGGCAAGUAUUGAGGCAGUUCCGAUAGGCAAAUCCGUCGGAAUAAUGCUGGGGUACGAUGCGGAGCGAAAUUAAGUAGCGAAGUAGCUGAUUUCACACUGUCGAGAAAAGUCUCUAUCGAGGUUAAAGGUGCCUGUACCGCAAACCGACACAGGUGGGUGAGGAGAGUAUCCUAAGGCCAGCGAGAGAACUGUUGUUAAGGAACUCGGCAAAAUGACCCCGUAACUUAGGGAGAAGGGGUGCCUUCGAAAGAAGGCCGCAGAGAAUAGGCCCAGGCGACUGUUUACCAAAAACAUAGGUUUCUGCUAAGUCGCAAGACGAUGUAUAGGAGCUGACGCCUGCCCGGUGCUGGAAGGUUAAGGGGAUCUGUUAGAGCAAUCGAAGCAGUGAACUUAAGCCCCAGUAAACGGCGGCCGUAACAAUAACGGUCCUAAGGUAGCGAAAUUCCUUGUCGGGUAAGUUCCGACCCGCACGAAAGGCGUAACGAUUUGGGCACUGUCUCAACAACAGACUCGGUGAAAUUGUAAUACCGGUGAAGAUGCCGGUUACCUGCGACAGGACGGAAAGACCCCAUGGAGCUUUACUGUAGCUUGACAUUGAGUCUCGGUGCUACAUGUACAGGAUAGGUGGGAGACUAUGAAGCAUGGACGUCAGUCUGUGUGGAGUCAUCCUUGGGAUACCACCCUUGUAGUACUGGGAUUCUAACCAGAGGCCAUGAAUCUGGUCUUGGGACACUGUCAGGUGGACAGUUUGACUGGGGCGGUCGCCUCCCAAAAAGUAACGGAGGCGCUCAAAGGUUCUCUCAGUACGGUCGGAAAUCGUACGAAGAGUGUAAAGGCAAAGGAGAGCUUGAUUGCAAGACAUACAGGUCGAGCAAGGACGAAAGUCGGACUUAGUGAUCCGGUGGUUCCGCAUGGAAGGGCCAUCGCUCAACGGAUAAAAGCUACCCUGGGGAUAACAGGCUGAUCUCCCCCAAGAGUCCACAUCGACGGGGAGGUUUGGCACCUCGAUGUCGGCUCAUCACAUCCUGGGGCUGUAGUAGGUCCCAAGGGUUGGGCUGUUCGCCCAUUAAAGUGGUACGCGAGCUGGGUUCAGAACGUCGUGUGACAGUUCGGUCACUAUCCGUCGCAGGCGUAGGAAAUUUGAGGAGACCUGUCCUUAGUACGAGAGGACCGGGAUGGACGUACCGCUGGUGUACCAGUUGUUCUGCCAAGGGCAUGGCUGGAUAGCUAAGUACGGAAAGGAUAAGCGCUGAAAGCAUCUAAGCGCGAAGCCCACUUCAAGAUAAGAUUUCCCACCGCAAGGUUAAGAUCCCAGGAAGACUACCUGGUUGA